GCCGGGCACAGUGGCGCAUGCCUGUAGUCCUAGCUACUCGGGAGGCUGAGGCUGGAGAAUCCCUUGAGCCCAGGAGUUCAAGUAGCGCGCUAUACAGAUCGGGUGUCUGCACUAAGUUCGGCAUCAAUAUGGUGACCUCCCAGGAGCGGGGGAGCACCAGGUUGCCUAAGGAGGGGUGAACCGGCCCAGGUCGGAAAUGGAGCAGGUUAAAACUCCCGUGCUGAUCAGUAGUGGGAUUGUGCCUGUGAAUAGCCACUGCACUCCAGCCUGGGCAACAUAGUGAGACCCUGCCUCU
Molecule: signal recognition particle RNA, 295 nt
Filed under: Aotus nancymaae (Ma's night monkey)
Lineage: Eukaryota; Metazoa; Chordata; Mammalia; Primates; Aotidae
Description: Metazoan signal recognition particle RNA (ENSANAG00000009911.1)
Rfam family: Metazoan signal recognition particle RNA
About the family: The signal recognition particle (SRP) is a universally conserved ribonucleoprotein. It is involved in the co-translational targeting of proteins to membranes. The eukaryotic SRP consists of a 300-nucleotide 7S RNA and six proteins: SRPs 72, 68, 54, 19, 14, and 9.
Source: RNAcentral